UCUUGGACACCAAUAAUGUGACCAGCUAGAGUAGAUGAGACAGGUAAGUUCAAUAAAUUCUGUAACAAGUACUGUUGCGGAUCUGCGUGAUUGAUUUUUAUCUUCUUUUCUUUUAAUUAGCAGGAUUCAAAUGUUGCUCUUUCUAGCAAAGGAAAAAUGUUUUCGUCUGUCCCUGCUCUCUGCAGCUCUACUUCAAUUUCCUCUCGAGACUGUGAGGAUGGAUCAAAUGAUUGCCAAUCAUGAUAAAUUCUUCCCAUGGGCAUGUCUACACUUAUCUCCGGAGCGAUCGAUCCAGCAGGGGUCGAUUUAUCGCAUCUAGUGAAGGCCUGAUCAAUCGACCAUUGAGCGCUCUCCUGUUGACUCCGGUACUCCACCGGAGCAAGAAGCAUAGGCGGAGUCGAUGGGGAGCAGCAGCAGUCGACCUACAGCAGUGAAGACACCGUGGUGGGUGCACUAAUACCAAACCCACAGCUCCAUGUAUGUAUUGCAUGACAGACCAGGUAAUAGCAUGCUUGCUUUUUUAAACUCUUCUCAUCCCAUACCCCAAUCCCUCCCCACCAUUUUUUGGGCUAGACACUAUGCAAACAGAACAAUAGACAGUCCCAUUGUUAUUUGUACUGCAAAGAUUCUAGUGCACUUUGAGGCUAUGCAGAAAUAAUCAGACUGGAAAGAAUGAGCCAGGCAAAAAGCCAAGCCCAAGGAGAGCUAUGAGAAGUGAGGAAGAUAUUCAGGCCCAGCCAGACUGAGGUGCUGUGAUGAGAGAAACUCUGCUCAAGAGGGAAAUUUGAAUCUGUCUUUUCCUGUCCCAUCACUAUUAGCUGUGCCUAGACCACCUUCCUCUGGAUGAGGGAUACUUCUGGCUAAAUUGUACCCUUAUGCUCCAGCAGACAAGUCUGUGGGGGAAGCAGGGAGCGCAUUCAUCCCUGGCUGACACUUGACCUUGUCUGCAUGAGGGGAAGUUAGUGCACUAACCACCAUGCCGAAUGUGUCUGUGUCACUUUUCCAUUUUAAGCCCUCCAGAUUAAGGAUUUAUCUAUGUUUGUACAGCACCCAGUACAAUGAGGUCUCAUCGUGCCUAGGAGCUUUGGGCGCUACCAUAAUCUAAAUGUUUAUUAUUAAUAAUAAUAGCCUGCACUUGUAUUUGCAUUCCACCCACGCACCUCAAAGUGCUUUACAAACAGUUUAAUUUAUUAUUCUCCACUUGGAGGAAGGGGUAAUUGAGGAAGAGAGAGAUUAAGAGAGUCACCCAAUGUCACAGCACUUCACUCUGCUACUGCUGAAUCUGUAGGCUGAACAGAUGACACUGAUGUGAGGAGACAGUAGUCUGUGUACAGGAAAAUUGUCCUGGGAAAGCUUGACUGAAUUUUAAAUGUCUAAAUGUUCUUGCUCAUAAAUUAUUGGUUUGUUCUGGAUUUUAUUACUCUCUUACCUUAUAGAAGAAGAUUAAACCUAAAAUGCCCUUGCCUUCUCCUUUCCAUCUAGUGAUGAUUCUACAGACUAACAAGAGAGGCCACAGAUAUUUUUUCUGUGAUGUUAAGAAUGACUCUAUAGAUCAAAUACCCUUUAAUUAUUUCCGUUUCCAUUUAUAAUUAUACAGGUUGUCAAGCAUUGUUCAUCUGGCUUUUGUGUAAUUGGAACAGGUGGUGUAUUGACGUUUUAACAUCUCAUUACUGUUGUCGUAUGUAAAACUUUUAAAAAAUGGCUUAAGAAACAGUUGUGAGCUAUGGCAAAUACCCUCCAGGGCUUCAUGACUCAAACAUCCUAGGGCUCCUUCCCUGCCUUCGUGUCUAGGUAAUCCUAAACAGGCUCAGUGAGGCUCCCAGCCAGGUUUUGUGAUAGUCAACUCAUGAUUUUAAGGGCUUUCUUUUUUUCAUUCUUGUUUACUUACUAUUUAUAUACCAGGAGUACUUACAGGGCCCUGCCAACACUGGUGCUCUAUUAUGUCAGGUGUUGUACAUGCACAUAAUGAGGAAGAUUCCCUUCCCUACCCUGCCCUGCCCGGGUUAGUUGACUCAGGCUCACGAGGCUCAGGCUGUGGGCUAAAAAUUGCUGUAUAGAUAUUCUGGCUCAAACUGGAGCCCAAGUUCUGGUAUUCUCAAUUGUUGCUCAUCUCAGAGCUCAGGCUCCAGCCCCAGCCCAAAUGUCUACAAAGCAACUUUUCAGCCCUGAAGCCUGAGCCCCGGGAGCCUGACUCAGUUGAUGGGGCCAGCCAUGGAGGUUUUUAUCCCCCUGUCAAGGUUCCUUCCCCACUCUGAACUCUAGGGUACAGAUGUGGGGACCUGCAUGAAAGACCCCCUAAGCUUAUUCUUACCAGCUUAGGUUAAA
Long non-coding RNA from Dermochelys coriacea (leatherback sea turtle), 2325 nucleotides. RefSeq lists it as uncharacterized. The transcript has 3 exons. NCBI's taxonomy places the organism in Eukaryota, Metazoa, Chordata, Testudines, Dermochelyidae. The record is from RefSeq and is a predicted model, not a curated record.